UUGAAUGCUUUCUUAAAUCUUCAUUCUGCUCUCAGGCCAAAAUAAACUAUUCCCAAUCAUUUUAGGGUCGAUUAGAACAUGGUUAAGCCAGCAACUUUUAACAUAUUUGCCACAUUUCUUUUUUCUCAAAGCUGUUGGCACAAUUAGUGGCUGGUCAACCGACCAACACAAUGUACCACAAACAAUAUGUUUUAAGUUGAUGGAGCUUGAAACCAAAGAAGUAGAAAG
RNAcentral lists this unclassified non-coding RNA (228 nucleotides) under Hevea brasiliensis (rubber tree). The record is from RNAcentral. Lineage: Eukaryota; Viridiplantae; Streptophyta; Magnoliopsida; Malpighiales; Euphorbiaceae.